Molecule: long non-coding RNA, 1059 nt
Organism: Phyllopteryx taeniolatus (common seadragon)
Lineage: Eukaryota; Metazoa; Chordata; Actinopteri; Syngnathiformes; Syngnathidae
Exons: 2
Source: RefSeq, a predicted model, not a curated record
UGCACCCCGCCUCCUGCCCGAUGACAGCUGGAAUAAGCUCCAGCACGCCCGCGACCCUAGUGAGGAGAAGUGGUUCAGAAAAUGGAUGGAUGGAUGAACGCCGAAGACAAUUCACAUUAUCCUACACCCAAAAAGUUGUUUUCGUAACUAUCCUCUAUUUGUCAUGUGUGUGUGUUCCGGGUUUUGUCUUCCCCCCUGUUUCACACACACCUGCUCCUGUGAGCAUCUUCACCACCUGUGCCUCGUUCACCCUAAUUACCUAUUGUAUUUAACCUCGUGUCUCAUUCCCUCUCGUUGCCAGUUCGUUGUACCUUGUCGUUGCGUUCCAGCAUUCCUUGUUUCCACGUCACAUACUCACAGUAAGACUUGACCCUGUUCCGAUUAUCGAUUACCCCCACGAGGGAGGUUGUUCUCUCUUUCAGGGCCGGAACACAAGGCCAUGAAGGAGUACGUGGAAGAAUCACUGGCAGCCGGAAUCAUUUGCCCAUCUUCAUCCCCUGCGGGAGCAGGAUUUUUCUUUGUGGACAAGAAAGACAAGACCCUGCGACCCUGUAUCGAUUACCGGGGUCUCAACGAGAUCACGGUAUAAAACAGCCCCAGAGUCCACAGUUCCAGCGGCAUUAACCUUGGUGAGACGCUGCAGGAGGACCUGGGAGCGAACCCGCCAGAUGCUGCUGCGCCAGGGACGGUCCUACAAAGCCGCUGCUGACCGUCGGAGGACACCGGCCCCGAACUACAAAGUGGGUCAGCGAGUUUGGCUCUCGACCAAACAUACUCCAUUCCGGGUGGAGUCCAUUCACCACCUGUGCCUCGUUCACCCUAUUUACCUAUUGUAUUUAACCUCGUGUCUCAUUCCCUCUCGUUGCCAGUUCGUUGUACCUUGUCGUCGCGUUCCAGCAUUUUUGUUUCCAUGUCACAGACUCACAGUAAGACUUGACCCUGUUCUGAUUAUUGACCUUGUCUCUUUGCCUCAUGUUUUUGGAUACUGUUGCCUUUCUUGGAUUGCCUGCCUGUGUACCGACCUAUGCCAGUCUAUUAAACCUCUCUUUUUGGAAACUG